AUGAAGAACGUAGCGAAAUGCGAUAAGUAAUGUGAAUUGCAGAAUUCAGUGAAUCAUCGAAUCUUUGAACGCACAUUGCGCCCGUCAGUAUUCUGGCGGGCAUGCCUGUUCGAGCGUCAUUACGCCCCUCAAGUCCCCUGUGGACUUGGUGUUGGGGAUCGGCGAGGCUGGUUUUCCAGCACAGCCGUCCCUUAAAUUAAUUGGCGGUCUCGCCGUGGCCCUCCUCUGCGCAGUAGUAAAACACUCGCAACAGGAGCCCGGCGCGGUCCACUGCCGUAAAACCCCCCAACUUUUUAUAGUUGACCCCGAAUCAGGUAGGACUACCCGCUGAACUUAAGCAUAUCAAUAAGCGGAGGA
Molecule: unclassified non-coding RNA, 357 nt
Filed under: soil metagenome
Description: partial contains 5.8S ribosomal RNA, internal transcribed spacer 2, and large subunit ribosomal RNA
Rfam family: 5.8S ribosomal RNA (bases 1-119)
Source: RNAcentral